UAACACAUGCAAGUCGAGCGGAUGAAGGGAGCUUGCUCCUGGAUUCAGCGGCGGACGGGUGAGUAAUGCCUAGGAAUCUGCCUGGUAGUGGGGGAUAACGUCCGGAAACGGGCGCUAAUACCGCAUACGUCCUGAGGGAGAAAGUGGGGGAUCUUCGGACCUCACGCUAUCAGAUGAGCCUAGGUCGGAUUAGCUAGUUGGUGGGGUAAAGGCCUACCAAGGCGACGAUCCGUAACUGGUCUGAGAGGAUGAUCAGUCACACUGGAACUGAGACACGGUCCAGACUCCUACGGGAGGCAGCAGUGGGGAAUAUUGGACAAUGGGCGAAAGCCUGAUCCAGCCAUGCCGCGUGUGUGAAGAAGGUCUUCGGAUUGUAAAGCACUUUAAGUUGGGAGGAAGGGCAGUAAGUUAAUACCUUGCUGUUUUGACGUUACCAACAGAAUAAGCACCGGCUAACUUCGUGCCAGCAGCCGCGGUAAUACGAAGGGUGCAAGCGUUAAUCGGAAUUACUGGGCGUAAAGCGCGCGUAGGUGGUUCAGCAAGUUGGAUGUGAAAUCCCCGGGCUCAACCUGGGAACUGCAUCCAAAACUACUGAGCUAGAGUACGGUAGAGGGUGGUGGAAUUUCCUGUGUAGCGGUGAAUGCGUAGAUAAUAGGAGACACCAGUGGCGAGGCGACCACUGACUGAUACUGACACUGAGUGCGAAGCGUGGGGAGCAAC
Molecule: ribosomal RNA, 720 nt
Filed under: Pseudomonas aeruginosa
Lineage: Bacteria; Pseudomonadati; Pseudomonadota; Gammaproteobacteria; Pseudomonadales; Pseudomonadaceae
Description: bacterial SSU rRNA
Rfam family: Bacterial small subunit ribosomal RNA
Source: RNAcentral